This 447-nucleotide ribosomal RNA is filed under the name Vicia cracca (bird vetch). RNAcentral's name for it is "eukaryotic LSU rRNA". The stretch from base 277 to 447 matches the Rfam family "Eukaryotic large subunit ribosomal RNA", at positions 1 to 173 of the family's 3401-position model. Lineage: Eukaryota; Viridiplantae; Streptophyta; Magnoliopsida; Fabales; Fabaceae. The record is from RNAcentral.
CCGGGGGACAUCGAGUCUUUGAACGCAAGUUGCGCCCGAUGCCAUUAGGUUGAGGGCACGUCUGCCUGAGUGUCACAUAUCGAAGCCUCCUUGACUAUUUUGCAGGGUGGAUGUUGGCCUCCCGUGAGCUCUUUUGUCUCAUGGUUGGUUGAAAAUUGAGACCUUGGUAGGGUGUGCCAUGAUAGAUGGUGGUUGUGUGACCCACGAGACCAAUCAUGCGCUUCUCUAUUGAAUUUGGCCUCUUUUACCCAUAUGCGUUUCUAAACGCUCGUGAUGAGACCUCAGGUCAGGCGGGACUACCCGCUGAAUUUAAGCAUAUCAAUAAGCGGAGGAAAAGAAACUAACAAGGAUUCCCUUAGUAACGGCGAGCGAACCGGGAUAAGCCCACCAUGAGAAUCGGUCGCCCUCGGCGUUCGAAUUGUAGUUGAAAAAAACCGUCAAAGAAGG